UUUCUUCUUUCGCUCUCGUUUCCUUUUUCUUCUCGGAGUUUCUCCGAACCAUCUUCAGGUAUCGUUUUUGAUUAUGCAGAACUACCCCUUCUUUGAAUCUGGGUUUGUUUAACAUAGUGUAUGUUUUUCUUCCGUUUAGGUUCUUAGAUUUCAAACUUUUCUGUUCCAAAAUCAAAACUUCGAUUAGGUUUUCAUCAAUCAAAUCCGAAAGCCCUAAUUUUUUUGGUGUCUUUUUCAUCUUAGGGUUUUCAAUUUCAAAACUUGUAUUUCUCUUUUAAGAUUUUAUGUUUUUUUUUUGGUUUCAGAUUAGGGUUUUCUGAUUAAUUUCAAAUCAAAAGCCCUCUCUUUUGGAUUCUUUUUUUCCGAAGGCUUUUCUAACUUUCGUGAUUCUAGUUUUCUUAAAUUUGAAACCUUUAUUUGCAAAUUCAGAUUUUAAAAUCUCACACAUCGAAAGACCCUCUUUUGGAUUUACGUUUUCUUCUUUUUCGAGGGAUCUUUACUUAAAAAAGUUUUUAUUUUUUGUCUUAGGUUUUAGUUUGUUUAAAGUUUUCUGUUUUCUCUUAAACCCAAAAGAAAGGGACAACACAUUAUAUGAUUGUGUCUGUCCGGUUUCUAACUUGGGGAAAUUGUCCCGUAUAGUCCGAUGUUGCCUAAGAUCAUAUGCUUGUCGAUCUAUGUUCGUAAGUAAGAGAUUGGAGAAAUCAAUCUCUAUAGUUGUAUUGUCUUGCUGUGCUGGGACAGCUUGAUAUAAACUUCAAAAUUCUGCAGCCUUUAUUAGGGCUUGAACAAUGAUGUUCCGAGAAUUUCAAUUCUCUACUUAAACGAUACAAUUCAAUAUCCUGCAAACUGAUGGAGAAUAAAAGUCCUUUUAAUAAGGCAAUUGUCCGUUUAAAGAUAUAUUGCUGUAGCUGGGACAGCAUAGUCCGAUGUUGCCUAACAGAAGCUAAGUUCAUAUGCUUGUCAAUCUAUGUCUUGCUGUACUGGGACAGCUUGACAUGAACUUCAAAAUUCUGCAGCCUUUAUUAAGGCGUGAACAGUGAUGUUCCGAGAUAUUUAUUUCUCUGCUUAAAAGAUAUGAAUAAGGCAAUUGUCCGAUUAAAUAUAUGUUGCUGUUGCUGGGACAGCAUAAUCUGAUGUUGCCUAACUGAAGCUAGAUCAUAUGCUUGUCGAUAUAUAUGUCCGUAAGUAAAAGAUUGGAGAAACCAGUCUCUAUAGUUCUAUUGUCUUGCUGUAUUGGGACAGCUUGAAAUAAAGUUCAAAAUUUCUGCUAAGAUCAGCCUGUAUUAAGGCUUGGACAAUGAUGUCCCGAGAAAUUCAAUUCUCUGCUUAUAGAAUUCAAUAUUCUGCAAGUUUAUGGAGAAUUCAAGUCCUUUAAUAAGGCAAUUGUUCGAUUAAAGAUGAAUUGCUGUAGCUGGGACGGCAUAGUCCGAUGUUGCCAAACAGAAAAGCUAGAUCAUAUGCUUGUCGAUCUAUGUCCGUAGCUAAGAUCAUAUGCUUGUCAAUCUAUGUCCGUAGUUUGAUCAUAUGCUUGUCAGUCUAUGUCCGUAAGUAAAGGAUUAGAGAAAUCAAUCUCUACAAAUAAUAGCUCUAUUGUCUUGCUGGACUGGGACAGCUUGAUAUAAACUUCAAAUAUCUCUGCUAAGAUCAGCCUUUAUUAAGGCUUGGACAAUGAUGUCCUGAGAAAUUCAAUUCUCUGCUUUAACGAUACAGUUCAAUAUUCUGCUACUUGAUGGAGAAUAAAAGUCCUUUUGAUAAGGCAAUUGCCCGAUUAAAGAUAUAUUGCUGGACAGCAUUAACAUUCAAUAUUCUGCUAUAUAGAACGUCAAUCUCUGCUUAAACUAUACAUCUCACUGAGAUAUGAAAUUCAAUACUCUGCAAAUUGAUGGAGCAUAAAUGUUCUUUAAUAGGACUUAUGUUUGAUGGUGUUCCGAGGUUGGAAUCUCGAUUGUGUAUUAAAAGAUAGUUUGCUGUGGCUGGGCAGCACAACAACGUUCAAUGUUCUGCUCAUAGUAACAUAUGCUUGUCAAUCUAUGUCUUGCUGUGCUGGGACAGCUUGAUAUAACCUUCAAAAUUCUGCUAUGGUCAGUCUUUAUUAAGGCUUGAACAAUGAUGUUCUGAGAAAUUCAAUCCUCUGCUUAAACGAUACAGUUCAAUGUUCUGCAAACUGAUGGAGAAUAAAAGUCCUUUAAUAAGGCAAUUGUCCGAUUAAAUAUAUAUUGCUGGAGCUGGGACAGCAUAGUCCGAUGUUGCCUAACAGAAGCUAAGAUCAUAUGCUUGUCGAUCUAUGUCCGUAAGUAAAGGAUUCGAGAAAUCUAUCUCUAUAGUUCGAUUGUCUCUAUUAAAAGAUAGUUUGCUGUGGCUGGGGCAGCAUAAUAACGUUCAAUGUUCUGCUUGUAAGGAUUGUCUAAAGACAUCCCAAGAAUGUGAAAUUCAAACUACUGCUGAAUCUCUAUUAAAUACGGAUGAUACUAUAUGAAUUUAGUAUUUAAUUCUCUGUCUUGCUGAGUCUUGACUAUACGUUUAAAAUAUUCAAAACGCUGCAUUACUACAAGAAUCUGUCGUCUGGGCGAGGAGGUAUGUAUUUCUUCUUUAACUAGAUUCUACUUAUGUUUUGUAAGUUUUUUUUUUAUGUUAAUGUACAUCUCUUAUAAAUCUUAGGCUAUAGAAGAAUAAAUUAGUCUCUGCUUGCCUUACUGUGUUCUAAGUUCUAAUCACAUCUAUUACUGAUUGUGGUUAAAACUUAGUUACACUUUGGUUCAUAAAACCAAGAAAAUUACAGUAUUGAUUAAAUAAAAUCCUUAACUAGCAACUCCCUCUCAAAUUAUUGUUUUAGCCGUAAAACACCAAAUUAGAUUUUGAAUACAAAAUAUAAAACUAACCAAAAAAAAAACAAAUAAGAACAAUUUAAAUAAACACCAAACAAUGAAAUCCUUGUUUCUUUGCUUGUUUGAUUCCUCUGCUUAGUGCAUUGCUUGUCUCUUUGCUUGUUUGAUCACUCUGCUUAGUGCAUUACUUGUUUGUUUGCUUGUUUGAUAGCUUGUUUGAUAAUUCCUGUGCUUAGUGCUUUACUUGGUUCUUUGCUUGUUUGAUUCCUCUGCUUAGUUUAUUUGAUUCUUUACAUGCUUAGCUUUGUUUAUUUGAUUCUCUAUUGCUUUGUUUAUUUGAUUCUUUAAUUCAUUUUCUUAGUGCAUUGCUUGUUUCUUUAUUUCCUUAAUGUAUUGUUUGCUUCCUUGAUUCCUCUCUGCUUACUUCUGUCUUUUCUUAUUGUUUACUUAUAUCAUUAUAUGCUACAUUUCCUUAAUUAUUUCUUACUUGAUUGUGUAGUGUACUCACUACUAGCUCUCUCUUUUCCAAUAUAUUUUAACUCCCACAUAUACAGUUCGCAUUAGACGAACACAAACACUAAACAUAAACAUACACAUAAACGCAUUACACAAAACACAUACACAUAAACGCAUUACCCGAACACAUACACUAAAGGUAAACAUGCACUGAUGCACACAAACGUAACUUUUGUUCUCACACUGAUACAAACAUUAAAAAAAUGCUAAUACGUAUACAAAAAUAAACACAUUACUCAAACAAACAUCUAAAAUGCUCACACUGGUACAUAAAUCUUUCAAGUUGAAGAAUCAUGUGUGGCUACUCUUGUUUCAGUCUUUGUUGCUCGAUCCAACUACUCUAUUUGAGUUCAAAUCGAAACUCAGAUAUUCAUGAAAAUGAACAUAUAUAUUACCAAAUUAUUGAACAAAUAUUUUUAAUUCCAUUUCAAAUUUAGAAAAUUGAGAAACAGAGUGUGUUUCUGCCAGAAGUUGGAAGUUUGGCUCUUUAAAGACACAUUACAAAAUUCAGAACAUAUAUUUUACUCCCAAAAACGUAAUUGAAAAGUAUUACCAAUUAUUGAAUUUUUUUGUCAAUGAUUAUAUCGUUUUCAAAGCAUUUCAUUAUCUAUUGGGUAGAAGUUAUAACAACCGAACGCCCAGGCCUAGUUGCAACUUUGUUACAUAAUAGGUUAGUUACACUUUGAUUCCUAAAAACCAAGAUGUAAAAUUAUUGAUUAAAUAUAGUCCCUAACUAUUUGACCAAAAUAUAUAUAUAUAUAUAUAUAUAUAGUCCCUAACUAGCAACUCCCUCUCAAAUUAUUGUUUUAGCUGUAAAACACCAAAUUUAAUUUUGAAAACACAAUAUAAUAGUAACCAAAAAAAAAAAGCAAGAGCAAUUUAAAUAAACACCAAACAAUGAGAUCCUUGAUUGAUUUUCAUACAAAAAAAAAAUACAUAAUUUGUUUUAUCUAAAAUAAUCUGGAUUUGAAAAUUUUGGCCGUUUACAUAAUAUGGCCAUAAAUUCAUCAAUUCACAACAACUUAAGUCUACAAAAUAGAUUACUUGUCGAAAACGACUAUUGCGCGCGAUUUUUCAAUAUCUGCAUAGAUUUGAUCCACUUCUCCCCGAGUACCAUACAUUUGCCCUAAAGGAUCGUAAAAAUACUGCACAUUGAAAUUAAAUGAAUAUUAAAACAUGUUAUAUAAUACACAUUGAAAUUAAAUGAUUAAAACGUAUUAUACAUAUAUAUAUAUGAAAAAUCAGAUAUGAAGUAAAAACUAAGAGUUGGCAAAGAUAACUAAUUCUUAAAACUCAUGAAUUGUGAAUUUUGCGGUGACAAUAAGAAAGUGAGUCUAGUAGAAAAUAUCUAAAUCUACAUGAAGCUAAGCUAACAGCUAAACUAUUAUCACUUAGUUGAUAGCAUAUUAAUUUUCCAUCACAAGACGAUAUAUCAAAAGAAAAGAAUAAUAUAAUUACCCGGUAAAGUCGGUCAUGGGGCUUAAGACGCUCCUCAGCGAUCCAACCAGAACGAAGCCAGUUGUAACGAGGACACGUAUUAUCAAACACAGUACAAGACGUAUUUGGGAUUUUAUUCAGUUGCCUUCUGCGACUCACAAUCAUCAACGUCUCUUUACCUUCCUUUGACAGAUUUGCAACGCUGUUCUCAUAACUGAUCACCUCCGACGAUCUCCUCUGCCGUGGACGUUUCUGUCGUCGAUGUCCAGAACUAGUAGAUUCAGCCUCCAUAUCUUAUCCUUGUUAUCGUUUUAACGAGUUUCAAGUCUUUUUAUAUACACAAAAUUUAUCACCUUAAGGAUACAAUUGUGCCAUGUGUUUUCUCAUCUUCGUUAUUUUUCACCUUAUAUAGAAAGAUAUCUUAAAGAGAUUACAAAAUCUCCAAAUACAUUAAUGUAUGUUCGCUAUUUUGCACCACAAAUGGAAACGUAUCUUAAGAAAUUUACAUAAUGUCAACAAUACAUUAAUGUAUUUAUUUCCAUAAACAAAAUUAUGUAUUUUUUUUACACUUAACACCAAAUUGAAAAUGAAUAUCAGUUUUAAAAUUAUUUUUAAUGAAUUUUGUCUUUAAAUUUUUAAUGAAUUUUUGCUUUUGGAAAAUUUGAGUUUUCUUUUCUGGAUUUAGCUAAUACUAUUUCA
Molecule: long non-coding RNA, 5477 nt
Filed under: Arabidopsis lyrata
Lineage: Eukaryota; Viridiplantae; Streptophyta; Magnoliopsida; Brassicales; Brassicaceae
Description: long non-coding RNA (ALYR_LNC001204)
Source: RNAcentral